AGGAGCGCCCCUGCCCGGCUGCCCCGUCUGGGAAGUGAGGAGCGCCUCUGCCCGGCUGCCCCGUCUGGGAUGUGAGGAGCGCCUCUGCCCGGCCGCCCAUCAUCUGGGAUGUGAGGAGCGCCUCUGCCCAGCCGCCCAUCGUCUGGGAUGUGAGGAGCGCCUUUGCCCAGCCGCCCCGUCUGGGAAGUGAGGAGCGCCUCUGCCCGGCCGCCACCCCGUCUAGGAAGUGAGGAGCGGCUCUGCCCGGCCGCCCCGUCUGGGAAGAAGUGAGGAGCGUCUCUGCCCGGCCGCCCCAUCUGGGAAGUGAGGAGCGCCUCUGCCUGGCCGCCCCGUCUGGGAUGUGGGGAGCGCCUCUGCCCGGCCGCCCCAUCUGGGAGGUCUACCACGGAGGCCAGACGCAAUGUGGGGGCUGGAUGUGGUGGCUCACACCUGUAGUCCCAGCACUCUGGGAGGCCGAGGCGGGUUGAUCACUUGAGGCUAGGAGUUCGAGACCAGCCUGGCCAACAUGGCGAAACAUAUGAAAAAUACAACAGACAAACCAACCAACCAACCCAGCGACAACAAAACAGGUCUACCCUGGAGUCAUACUCUAAUUUUUUCUAUUUUCCUCCCUUUCUGAUCCUUUAUCCCACUUGCUUUUUCUUCCUCUUCCUUCUCCUUAGUCAAAUAGAGGAUUGAGUUAUUAUCAUUGAUCCAUACAAAGUCCCUCUCUCAUUUAUUUUCUUUAAUUCCCAUCCCCCAUUUCUAUUUCCCAUCUUCCCAUGUGCAACCUUCCUAAUAUGUUUGAUAUGCAUCUUUUUGUUUGUAUGUAUUUUUAGAAAAUGUUUAUUGUUUUGUGUGCAAAAAAAAUUAAUAAAAAAAGAAAAAAAAGAAA
Molecule: long non-coding RNA, 874 nt
Organism: Symphalangus syndactylus (siamang)
Lineage: Eukaryota; Metazoa; Chordata; Mammalia; Primates; Hylobatidae
Source: RefSeq, a predicted model, not a curated record